CGUAGGGUGCGAGCGUUAAUCGGAAUUACUGGGCGUAAAGCGUGCGCAGGCGGCGCCGCAAGUCGAGUGUGAAAUCCCCGAGCUUAACUUGGGAAUUGCGCUUGAAACUACGGUGCUGGAGUGUGGCAGAGGGAGGUGGAAUUCCACGUGUAGCGGUGAAAUGCGUAGAGAUGUGGAGGAACACCGAUGGCGAAGGCAGCCUCCUGGGCCAACACUGACGCUCAUGCACGAAAGCGUGGGGAGCAAACAGGAUUAGAUACCCUGGUAGUCCACGCCCUAAACGAUGAUGACUAGUUGUUGGGGGAGUUAAAUCCCUUAGUAACGCAGCUAACGCGUGAAGUCAUCCGCCUGGGGAGUACGGUCGCAAGAUUA
RNAcentral lists this ribosomal RNA (372 nucleotides) under uncultured organism. RNAcentral's name for it is "bacterial SSU rRNA". It matches the Rfam family "Bacterial small subunit ribosomal RNA", at positions 526 to 896 of the family's 1533-position model. The record is from RNAcentral.